CUCUGUAAGCGUAUACCAAAGUUGUUGCAGUUAAAACGCUCGUAGUCGGAUUUUGGUGCGCGCCGGGCUGUGCGCGUAGUGCGUGCGGCGCGGGGCGUGCUUUUGUGGAGGGCGGCCGCUCGUGGCUUUGCUGUUGCGGGUGUGUCGGCGCCACCGUUUACUGUGAAAAAAUUAGAGUGUUCAAAGCAGGCGUUUGCCGUGAAUACAUUAGCAUGGAAUAAUAGAAUAGGACUCGUACCUAUUUUGUUGGUUUGUGAGGGCCGAGUAAUGAUUAAGAGGGACGGUUGGGGGCAUUUGUAUUCCGGCGUCAGAGGUGAAAUUCUUGGAUUGCCGGAAGACAAACCGCUGCGAAAGCGUCUGCCAAGGACGUUUUCAUUGAUCAAGAACGAAAGUAAGGGGAUCGAAGACGAUCAGAUACCGUCGUAGUCUUUACUAUAAACGAUGAGAACUGGGGAUCGGGCGGGCAUUAUGAUGACCCGUCCGGGACCCUCCGGGAAACCAAAGUGUUUGCUUUCUGGGGGGAGUAUGGUCGCAAGGCUGAAACUUAAAGGAAUUGACGGAAGGGCAUCACCGGGUGUGGAGCCUGCGGCUUAAUUUGACUCAACACGGGAAAACUUACCAGGUCCGGACAUAGUGAGGAUUGACAGAUUGAGAGCUCUUUCUUGAUUCUAUGGUUGGUG
Molecule: ribosomal RNA, 680 nt
Filed under: Sheathia arcuata
Lineage: Eukaryota; Rhodophyta; Florideophyceae; Batrachospermales; Batrachospermaceae
Description: SSU rRNA
Rfam family: Eukaryotic small subunit ribosomal RNA
Source: RNAcentral